ACUCAAAUGAAUAGACGGGGGCCCGCACAAGCGGUGGAGCAUGUGGUUUAAUUCGACGCAACGCGAAGAACCUUACCUGGGCUUGAACUGUUGAAAGUAGUCUUGAUGAAAGUCGAGGCGAGCCGUUAAGUCGGAGAUCAACAGAGGUGCUGCAUGGCUGUCGUCAGCUCGUGUCGUGAGAUGUUGGGUUAAGUCCCGCAACGAGCGCAACCCUUACCCUAUGUUGCCACGUCCGUAAUGGACAGCACUCUUAGGGAACUGCCUCGGACAACGGGGAGGAAGGUGGGGAUGACGUCAAGUCACCAUGGCCUUUAUGUCCAGGGCUACACACGUGCUACAAUGGCCGGUACAGCGAGCAGCAAAUCCGCAAGGAGGAGCAAAUCUCUAAAAGCCGGCCCCAGUUCAGAUUGUGGGCUGCAAUUCGCCCACAUGAAGGUGGAAUCGCUAGUAAUCGGGGAUCAGCUGGCCCCGGUGAAUACGUUCCCGGGCCUUGCACACACCGCCCGU
This 507-nucleotide ribosomal RNA is filed under the name uncultured bacterium. RNAcentral describes it as "partial 16S ribosomal RNA". It matches the Rfam family "Bacterial small subunit ribosomal RNA", at positions 899 to 1397 of the family's 1533-position model. The record is from RNAcentral.